AGGGUUUCGAUUAUUUAUCACUGAAAACCAUGAGCUAAUGGCAGCUAUUUAAAUAGCACUUGAUCAUCAACCUCUUCUUGGGUAUUAUAGUUUGCAGAAUAUCAAGUAAAUGUGUGGUAUAACCAACAGAGUCAUAGAAGAAGCAUUUCUGUAAUUUAUAUUUCACAAAGUAUCUACUAAUUUAGAACCUUUCCAAUUUGAAUUCCUAAUCCAAUAAUAUACAUGAUAUGGCAACAUCUUUCUUUAAAAGUCAUUAAGCGGGUUUCUCACAGUCUCUCACUGCCGUAUCAUGUUUUGUUUGAUGUUUUGAUUAAAACAACAGCAACAUAUUGCUCCCAAUCUCAACAAUAUACAUAUACUAUAUUUUUAUAAUUUUUUGUUUUGAUACAUUUCCGUCCGUCUGUGUUUUGCUGUUCGUCGUUCGUUAUAAGUUCGUAUUCGUACCAUUUUAGUAGUGUAAGCAGUUUUACUACUUUCUCUUUGCUAACGCAAGCGCCGCGCAAUACGAUCUCACAACAUUCAAUACAAUUUUAUUUCAUUUUUGUUUUUUCUUGCUAGUGGAACGAGUAUUUCAGUUGUUUUAGAUUUCUUUCUUGUAAUUGUUGUCAUCGUAGUUGUUGGUCGGUCGUCUUGAUGUAGCAGAGUCCUUUUGCACUAGUGACAACGUGUGUGUGUCUGUACCGGGGGGUCUACUUACAUAUUGUUUUCCGCCUUGUAUAGUUGCUGUUGGAUUUUGAAAGGCAUUUGAAUGACUUCGAAUUGUAUAGUAUGUAGUAGAGUAGAGUAGAGUAGAGUAGAGUAGAAUAAAGUGAAUGUAUGAAUUUAAGGUGUAUUUAACAUUUUCUCUGCGUAGGUGGACUGGCGUUUGUGUGUAUGUAAACGAGCCUAGGAGAUUUUUUUUUUAUAUUUUUCCUCUAACAAUUUUGUUUGUUAGCUCAGCAUUUUCCAAACCAUCACUAUGCUUAUUAUGAACAAGCAUACGAAAAAUGUCACAAAUACACACCGCUACCUCACAAUUGAUGUUAGAUGUCGUCAACAUUAAUAAGUUAAAACUUUUUUGUUUUCAUUUCGACUAAAUUCAAUUGCAAGUACACACACACUCUCUAUAUUUGCACUCAUUGUACUUAGUAGUAUAUAAUGUUGUGGUAGGUAGUCUAGUCUAGUUUGUGUGUUGCCUGUUGGUUGGGUUUUCUUUUCUAUUGGAAGAACAGUCGCCCAUUGUGUUAUGUAUACAAGUGUUUGGGCAAACAAGUUUGACGUGAGUUAAUGGGAGAGCGAGAGAAAGCUUCAAACGUUGUUAGAAUUGCCGGGCGUUUGUAAGUAAAUAGAGAAAAAUAUAUCCAUAUUUACAUAGAGAGUUGCCAUUAUAAUUUCGUUUAUUGAAAUGUUUAAAGAUAUGUAUAUAUGUGUUAUUAAAUUAUGUUAUUUAUGCUUAUACGGAUGUUUACAAUCUUCUGAAUAUGUAUAACUAGUUACAUCUCUCUUAAUACUUAAAUUGUUUAAUGGAAGCGUUUAAAGAUUCGAUUUUAGAGCUUUGAAAUGAAGAGAGAUUGUGAAAUUGAUAAUCUUCAAGAUUGUCACCCGAAUGGAAUGGAAGCGUUUAAAGAUUCGAAUUUAGAGCUUUGAAAUGAAGAGAGAUUGUGAAAUUGAUAAUCUUCAAGAUUGUCACCCGAAUUUCAGGAGAAAGGUUGCCAGAGGGACACCUAAAGAUGUCGAAAUGCUUUAUAUGAACACAUAAAUUAAAGUCCUAAUUUGACAGUGGGAUGAAGCUCACAUACCAUACAUCUUUACAGUCUUAACAGCACCUAGGGGACAAGUCACAAGGACCUACUGUGAUAAGUUAGGUAUAUUUAAAAUAAACUCCAACACACUCAACCAUAAAGGAAAAGCGGCGAUAAGUUAAAGAUUUAAGGUAUUAUAACCCCACAACCAACUCCACUGACUUUAUGAAUUUGGAUUUAUACCACUACGUGGAUAUGGAAACCCCAAUCCACUGAGAAGCCAGGACAAAGUCCUGCCCAUGUCAAUCAUUCCAACGAAACACUUAGGAUACUUUUGACAUCUCCAGUUAAGUCCCGACAGACUAGAGGUACUUGUUGCACCUCUUUAUCCCAAGAUUACAAUACCCAAAAUGAGGUUCGUUCAUCAAGGAAAAGCCGAGGACUCAUUUGAUGGAGGAAAACUCAUCAAGAACACAUAAUUCAUGAUUGUUGCUGCCUUUCGACAUAAUUGUACAGUCGUCCGCAUACAAAAUCACGUCUAUGUACAGGAAGUUUAGAGAGGUUGAAUUUAAACAAUAGCGACGAUAGUACAUUCUUGUGCUACGCCCUGUUUAACUCUAGGAUGUUUGCAGCGUCUCUCUUAACUCUACAAACUACUGACAAUCCCUCAGAUAAUUUCUGUGAGAUUUAAGUUUUAUGAGAUCUGAGUAGAGAAAGCGUUUAAUGCUGUGGUAAUUAUGAUGGAAUAUAAAUAUCCAGGAGAGAUUGAAGAAUCAACUAAACGCUAUGUUUGUUUUCUAAGCACCAUUUAUAGGUCUGUUCGAACCUUGAUGUAAAUGGAAACGACAGAGGGGUUACAAGUCACCAGUUAUGGAGGAGUAAAUUGGAUAGAUUGUUAUUUAUAUCCUUAUGAUUAAAGCUUGCUUAUUGAGAAGUAAAUUGGAUUGUUAGUUAUUUAUAUCCUUAUGAUCAAAGCAUUAAGUAAUGGCAGCCAAUGUAAUUGUUGCACUGGAUUGAUGUAGUCUAAGGUUUUUUUAAGAUCAUUGUUCUAUUAGAGCCUUUGUCCUCAGGCUAUUCGAAGAUCCGAAAGGGUCUGGAUAGAUAAUAAGCACUACUAGGACUUUUACAAGAUAGCUGCUAGUUAGGAACCUGUGUGAUCUUAACGGUUUUGUUUUAGAUAAUCCAAAAUGAAAUCUAUGAAUUCGUGUUAGUGCUAUUGUUUAGAAGUACUUAAUGUGUAGUUAUAAUAUAAUUAAAUCAAAUUCCCUAAAUUUGGUAUGAAAAACAUUAUAAAAGGCCUCAUUCGCAUUGAUUAUUAAAAUUAUAAAAUUCAUAUUCCAAAUAUAUAAUUAAUCAUUAUACUUUCACCAAACGCGUGAAUCAAAUUAAAUUUACUAAUUUUUUGCAUUUCUUUUAUGGCCAAAAUAAUAACAAUUAAAUGGUGCUUAUUUUCACGAAAAGAAAGAGAAAAGAACUUAAAAUAAUUUAUCAUUAUUAUCUAUUCUUGAGCUCAUCAAAGAAUUUCUACUAAAAAAAUAACCUUGGCAACACUGCUACAGCCACACAUUUACACUCACUCAUUUUUACGAGUUUUUGCGUUGUUGUCUUAAAUGUUAGAGAAAAUUAUUUGACAGUUAGGGCGAGAGAGAGAGAGAGUGAAAAACAAGAAGUGCACGAAAAAAAAGGAAAUUCCUAGAAAAUAUAAUAAUAUAAAAGUAAUAAUAAAAAUAUAAUAUAUAGAAACAAAAUGACAACGAGUACGACGAAAACAAUUUCCCUUUUAAAGAGAAUUCUUUUCUGAAUGAAAAUGUUAUCAAAAAAGGACGGACAAGGGGGCAUAUAGAAGAACAAAUGAUACUUACAUAAAUGUGGCCUACAAUGUGAAUCAUUUAUAUAGAGGUCGGGGUGUUGCAGGCUUGGACGACGGUUUAAGUGUUGGCAAAAAUAUAACUAAAUACUUUGACAGUCAUAAAGGGACUUUUGUACAUGUACAUAUAUACAUAUUAAUAUAGUUUUAGUUUAAGUUGAUGAGUUAGAGUGGUGGAAAAAAUUAAAAACAAAACAGGACGAUGGUGGACAAAAUAAAAACGAUGAUGGCGAAAUAGCGAUAACAACGCCAAUGACGGUGACAAUGAUGAAACAUUCGUGGGGUUCUAUUGAAAUUGUGUUAACUUACUCAGUUGAUGAUAUGGGGGUUUCCGGUAAUAUUACCCAAAACGCAUACAAACUCAAAGUAUAAGUUCAUGUUUUUACGCAAUAAUAAUGAUACAACAACGUCUAGUUAUUAGAACUAUAAUAAAACAAACAACCACAAAAUAUAAUAAAAACACAGAAGGACGACAACAACAAGCGACCAUCAACAUCAACACUCAGUGGAAUUAACCAAUAUUUUAUUAUUACCAUGAUUUCAUUCCCAGUUUUUUUUUUUAUAAAAAGAAUUAACAAGAACGCAGAAGAAAAACACCCACUAACCUCUUGCUGUCACUUUAAAAAAUCAUAGGAAAACCCCAACACAGGACAUUGAAACAAAGUGAAAUCACAUAAUGAAUCAUUCAAUUUAUAUGGAAAAUAUAAAUAUGUAAAAGAAUUUUUAUUAUUACCGGUUUUGUUGUAAUAUAUAAGAUUUCAACAUAAUUUUAAAGGUAGGUUGCUUUUGGUUUGGGUUUACCGCCUUUGGUACUUUGGGUUGUGUUUCUCCAUAAAUUGUAACGUGCACUCAUC
This is a long non-coding RNA of Lucilia cuprina (Australian sheep blowfly), 4442 nucleotides long. RefSeq lists it as uncharacterized. The record is from RefSeq and is a predicted model, not a curated record. NCBI's taxonomy places the organism in Eukaryota, Metazoa, Arthropoda, Insecta, Diptera, Calliphoridae. The transcript is spliced from 3 exons.